Molecule: non-coding RNA, 727 nt
Organism: Anolis sagrei ordinatus
Lineage: Eukaryota; Metazoa; Chordata; Lepidosauria; Squamata; Anolidae
Source: RefSeq, a predicted model, not a curated record
AACCCGACAUAAUUAUUAUGAAAGUGUUCCCUCGGCCAACCCUACAUAUGAGUAUUAAUAUUAGUAUUAAUAUUAGUAUAUCAUCUCAGCAAUCUUUCCCAAGCAGGCGGAAUAUGGAAUCGGAUUUAAUCUGGUCUCGAUGUUAGGUUUGAAAGCGGGAGAAAGAAAAGCGAAGCAAUCGAAUCCUUUCAUUUCGGUUUGGAAGUCCAAGAGAAGGAAUCGUGUCCACUCCAGUCCUCUCACUCGGGCCACUUCACCUAGAGGCAGCCAACACAGUGACAUCUCAGAUGGUCACUUCACCUAAUGACAGCCAACACGGAGACAUCUCAGAUGGUCACAUCACCUAAUGACAGCCAACACGGGGACAUCUCAGAUGGUCACAUCACCUAAUGACAGCCAACACGGGGACAUCUCAGAUGGUCACGUCACCUAAUGACAGCCAACACAGUGACAUCUCAGAUGGUCACGUCACCUAAUGACAGCCAACACGGGGACAUCUCAGAUGGUCACAUCACCUAAUGACAGCCAACACGGGGACAUCUCAGAUGGUCACGUCAACUAAUGACAGCCAACACAGGGACAUCUCAGAUGGUCACAUCACCUAGUGACAGCCAACAAGGGGACAUCUCAGAUGGUGACAUCACCUAAUGACAGCCAACACGGGGACAUCUUAGAUGGUCACGUCACCUAAUGAUAGCCAACCCAGUGACAUCUCAGAGGGCCACUU